RNAcentral lists this unclassified non-coding RNA (1091 nucleotides) under Hevea brasiliensis (rubber tree). Lineage: Eukaryota; Viridiplantae; Streptophyta; Magnoliopsida; Malpighiales; Euphorbiaceae. The record is from RNAcentral.
CAGCCAAAUCAAAAUUUCAAGGUGCAGAAAAAGCAACCAAGUGUCUAAUUAGGCGCUAAAUUUGAUUCAUGGACUACACCAUUCAACUGCAAUGCCUAGCUAAGAAGCAGUGAAAGAUCAGUCCAAUUACAAAUCCAUACUACAAGUCCAUGACAGCUCACUAUCAGGGCAAUAUGAUUAUGCACAUAGAAGUUUUAUCAAUUUCAUUUCAUAGCAAAAGAUAUAAAACAACAAUACAUAACCAUAAGAGCCUACCAAUAUAUCAAAGAAAAUCAUAGUCUAACAUAUCAGAACCUUUUAGGAGAAAAAACAGCAGGAAAGAAGAUGUCAGCUGGAACUUAAAUAUUUAAGCUGUAGGUGCACCACUAGUAUCCUUGACAGAUUCACGCCAAGCAUAUUCCCUUGCACCAUCUUUGUCCACAAUUUUGAUUACGAAAUUUGGUGGAGCCACAACCAGCCUUGAUCGAAUCUCUAUAAUGCAUUUGUCCACCAAAUCAAUUGCUUCUUCCACUGUCAUUCCACUGUGGUAGUGUCGAUCCAUCAUUGAAAGAGAAAAAUAUGAUCCAUAACCAAAUGCUCCCUUAUCAAUCUUGUGAAGAGUGGCAAUAUAGUCAAUAUAGUAAAGAGAUGGUCCUGUCUCUUUGUCGUAGCCUGCCAUAAGAAUGUUCACGAAAUAUGGAUUCUUGCGGAGAGCGGUAGCGAGUUCUCCACGAGUGAAAUUCGCAGCAGCCGCAGUCGUCAACGGAAUUCCGUUUCGAAACUGAUACAAAGCCACGUUCUUUUGUAUAUAUUCUGUGAACUGAACUCUGUCACCACUUUCGCCGCUGGCGCCAAGGAGCUUGUGGGAGUCGAGGACCAUGAUCUUAUCCUCAUUCGAUUUGUGAACCAAUAUGCUAUGAACCGCCGAAGUAUCGGCCACAACCAAAGCAAAUCCAUCUCCUACCAAUCCAAAUACGCACUCCAUUUCCUUCUCUCUCUUUAAAUCCCUACCUAUGGGAUGGGACACGCUCUACAAAAACCUUGUUAAGAAGAGCGAGCAUCUGCGAAAACUUUUAAAGAAGAGUGAAGACGCGACUUGACAAGCAAGAAAG